This 424-nucleotide ribosomal RNA is filed under the name uncultured bacterium. Its description in RNAcentral is "bacterial SSU rRNA". It matches the Rfam family "Bacterial small subunit ribosomal RNA", at positions 355 to 776 of the family's 1533-position model. The record is from RNAcentral.
UAGGGAAUAUUGGGCAAUGGACGCAAGUCUGACCCAGCCAUGCCGCGUGCAGGAAGACGGCCCUCUGGGUUGUAAACUGCUUUUAUCAGGGAAGAAACCCUUCUACGUGUAGGAGGCUGACGGUACCUGAGGAAUAAGGAUCGGCUAACUCCGUGCCAGCAGCCGCGGUAAUACGGAGGAUCCAAGCGUUGUCCGGAUUUAUUGGGUUUAAAGGGUGCGUAGGCGGACUUAUAAGUCAGAGGUGAAAGCCGGUAGCUUAACUAUCGAAUUGCCUUUGAAACUGCAAGUCUUGAAUUUUGUUGAGGUAGGCGGAAUGUAUCAUGUAGCGGUGAAAUGCAUAGAUAUGAUACAGAACACCGAUUGCGAAGGCAGCUUACUAAGCAAAUAUUGACGCUGAGGCACGAAAGCGUGGGGAUCAAACAGG